Molecule: ribosomal RNA, 492 nt
Filed under: uncultured bacterium
Lineage: Bacteria
Description: partial 16S ribosomal RNA
Rfam family: Bacterial small subunit ribosomal RNA
Source: RNAcentral
AGUGAACGCUGGCGGUAGGCCUAACACAUGCAAGUCGAACGGCAGCACAGUAAGAGCUUGCUCUUACGGGUGGCGAGUGGCGGACGGGUGAGGAAUACAUCGGAAUCUACUUUUUCGUGGGGGAUAACGUAGGGAAACUUACGCUAAUACCGCAUACGACCUACGGGUGAAAGCAGGGGAUCUUCGGACCUUGCGCGAUUGAAUGAGCCGAUGUCGGAUUAGCUAGUUGGCGGGGUAAAGGCCCACCAAGGCGACGAUCCGUAGCUGGUCUGAGAGGAUGAUCAGCCACACUGGAACUGAGACACGGUCCAGACUCCUACGGGAGGCGGCAGUGGGGAAUAUCGGACAAUGGGCGCAAGCCUGAUCCAGCCAUACCGCGUGGGUGAAGAAGGCCUUCGGGUUGUAAAGCCCUUUUGUUGGGAAAGAAAAGCAGCAGGUUAAUACCCCGCUGUUCUGACGGUACCCAAAGAAUAAGCACCGGCUAACUUCGUG